Molecule: ribosomal RNA, 397 nt
Filed under: uncultured bacterium
Lineage: Bacteria
Description: partial 16S ribosomal RNA
Rfam family: Bacterial small subunit ribosomal RNA
Source: RNAcentral
AUACGUAGGUGACAAGCGUUGUCCGGAUUUACUGGGCGUAAAGGGCGUGUAGGCGGUCUUGCAAGUCAGAAGUGAAAUUCCUGAGCUCAACUCGGGCGCUGCUUCUGAAACUGCAGGACUUGAGUGCUGGAGGGGAUAGCGGAAUUCCUAGUGGAGCGGUAAAAUGCGCAGAUAUUAGGAAGAACACCGGUGGCGAAGGCGGCUAUCUGGACAGUAACUGACGCUGAGGCGCGAAAGCGUGGGGAGCAAACAGGAUGAGAUACCCGGGUAGUCCACGCCGUAAACGAUGAAUACUAGGUGUAGGGGGUAUCGACUCCCUCUGUGCCGCAGUUAACACAAUAAGUAUUCCGCCUGGGGAGUACGGCCGCAAGGUUGAAACUCAAAUGAAUUGACGGGG